AUACAAAGUUUAUUUGAAGACAUGAUACAAUUUACUCUAUAUCCAACAACAGCUGAGUAUACUGAGGUAGCCAGAGCUAGUUACCAAGUUUAAGAUCUUAGAAGAUAAAUCUGGAAAUUCAACAGGACAUGAAAAUACGUCAGGAGAAAACCAAGCCAGCAUCAAGCAUGUAACAGAUUUAAUGGACCUUUCAAAGAAGUGUAACCCAGACCAGAACAUUA
Molecule: long non-coding RNA, 221 nt
Organism: Anneissia japonica
Lineage: Eukaryota; Metazoa; Echinodermata; Crinoidea; Comatulida; Comatulidae
Exons: 3
Source: RefSeq, a predicted model, not a curated record